AUCAUAACUCAAAUAACUUAUGCAACUCAUAGUGUGUCUCAUGAUGAUCCUCUAGUAAAAUUUUAGGUAAGGAGAUACCAUUGGAACAUUGUAUGUGAAUGUGAUCAAAACAAGUAUUGACACAUGUAACGCUGAUAUUAAUUUGAGAAAAUGAAAUAAUUAUGUGUCGGUGUUACAUAAAUUGCAACAACGAACAUCGGACAUUUGAAUGUGACACCUUUAAUGUCUAACAAUGAUAUUAAUUUGAGAAAAUGAAAUAAUUGAAUGUACGCAUGUGUCGGAUUGUUGGGGCUACAGAGAUUACAACACGACCACAAUUGCGGAUUCAUCACUGUAUCAAGGAUUGUAAUGCAACAACUACCAAAAGAAAUUAAAACCUUGAGUGUGAUGAUUGUUUUGGUGAAAUAUUAGGUAAAAAAGGUGAAUCUAUUAUUGUGAGUGAUGAUGGUUUUGGUGAAAUAUUAGGGAAAAAAGGUGAAACUAUAAUUGUGAGUGAUGAUGGUUUUGGUGAAAUAUUAGGGAAAAAAGGUGAAACUGUAAUUGUGAGUGAUGAUGGUUUUGGUGAAAUAAUAUAUAGAUAAAGAGAGAUUUAUAUAAAGUGGAAUUUGACUUACUUCUCAUGAAUACGUUUGAGA
RNAcentral lists this long non-coding RNA (635 nucleotides) under Medicago truncatula (barrel medic). RNAcentral's name for it is "long non-coding RNA (MTRU_LNC008377)". The record is from RNAcentral. Lineage: Eukaryota; Viridiplantae; Streptophyta; Magnoliopsida; Fabales; Fabaceae.